UACGUAGGGGGCUAGCGUUGCUCGGAAUCACUGGGCGUAAGGCGCACGUAGGCGGCUUCUUAAGUCAGGGGUGAAAUCCUGGGGCUCAACCCCAGAACUGCCCUUGAUACUGAGGAGCUUGAGUCCGGGAGAGGUGAGUGUAACUCCGAGUGUAGAGGUGAAAUUCGUAGAUAUUCGGAAGAACACUAGUGGCGAAGGCGGCUCACUGGCCCGGUACUGACGCUGAGGUGCUAAAGCGUGGGGAGCAAACAGG
This 253-nucleotide ribosomal RNA is filed under the name uncultured bacterium. Its description in RNAcentral is "partial 16S ribosomal RNA". It matches the Rfam family "Bacterial small subunit ribosomal RNA", at positions 524 to 776 of the family's 1533-position model. The record is from RNAcentral.